Non-coding RNA from Punica granatum (pomegranate), 88 nucleotides. The record is from Rfam. Lineage: Eukaryota; Viridiplantae; Streptophyta; Magnoliopsida; Myrtales; Lythraceae.
GGCUCUGUGAUCGGCGAGCCUUGUAACGAGGCGAUAUACGCUAUUCCGAUUCAAAGCAUGAGCUUGAUAACCUCAUUCAAUGAGAGCC